Papaver somniferum (opium poppy) is the source of this 2463-nucleotide long non-coding RNA. RefSeq lists it as uncharacterized. The transcript has 6 exons. Lineage: Eukaryota; Viridiplantae; Streptophyta; Magnoliopsida; Ranunculales; Papaveraceae. The record is from RefSeq and is a predicted model, not a curated record.
ACUACCAUCUACUCCGAUUUUUCUCUCUCGCAGUGCGUUUGUGACUCUCGUUACUUCCGCCAUUCACAUUCACACUCGCAAGCUGUUAUUAUUAAUUGACGGAAUCUUCAAUCUUUCAACUUCAUCUGAUGCUUUUUGCGCAGUAGAUCGGAAUGAAUGGGUCCAUAAAAUAAUUCAAAUUCAUCCAUCUGCUCAGCGCUCACUUUGUCAGCUGUGUAUUUUUGUGUUACUUGUUGAUAGUUAAACGAUGGAAAACCUUGUAAUACUAUGUGUUAUAUUUACUUUAGUAACUAGAGCAUUUUUGGAGGUGCGAUGAGUUGCGCUUUCCACGCGAGAUUUCUGACUAGUUACAACAAUAGAUAGAUCAAAACUGUGGUGUGUCAGUCAUGCUGAUCUUAUAAGAUGACUGUUGGUGCUCCAUCAGGUUUAAAGCGAGAGAUUGAGAGAAGAUGAUGAAGAGGAGGGAUUGAGAGAAGAGCAGCGGUGGUGAUGGAGCGCCGACGGUCAUCUGUGGAGGAGAGGAGGGGUGUUCUUCAGGAGGAGAGGAAGAGCAGUGGUGAUGGAGGAAGAAAGAGAGAAACAGAUAGGAAUAAAAGUGGUUGAGGGAGGGUUUGGUGAUAUAACCAAGAAUGAGUGAAUAAACAAAUGCUUUAAGAAAGAUGUGUUUGAAGGUUUAGGCUUUAAUAUUGUUGUAGGCUCGUUGGAACUUAAUAAUGUCUUGUUUAUGUUUUGUGAUAAGAUGCGUAAAUGAUGCUUUAGCUGUGCUUAUCCUAAUGACAAAGUUGUGGUUUAAUCUUAUACAUUUAUGGGUAUAUGGGGGGGUUAAAUUUUUGAAUUUACUAUAGGGCACUAAAGUGACUGAACUUAGUCUAUGCUGCUUAGGAUAAUGACUCUUGGUGGUAGUAUUAAACACUGUCAUAAGAUUUUUUUCUUCUUCGGAUGUAUGGCCAUCAACUAUGAUUCCAUUGCAACUUAAAACACUGGUAUGAACUUAUUUUUAAAUUUGAUACAUAAGUGGUUCCUAUUGUUGUUUUUUGAGAUUGCAUAUAUUGGGUUUGUUGAGGGUGAAGGCUCUAUCCUUCCACUUGUGUAUACGAAUGAUGCUCACAGUACAAACUAGUUGAUUUAUCAAUUGGUAUCAACUGUGUUUGGCUUCUAUUAUGACUUGGUAUGCAUAUGAAAUUCCUUUUAAUGGACUUUUAAUCUUUAUAUCCCCGGAGCAUUGUAUUUUCUGGUUUAUUGUGCAAAUUGAGAAUCUGGUUUAUUGUGCAAAUCAGAACUGCCCGCAUGUUGUCUGUUUGAGGUCAGUUAAGAUAACUGUUUGGUUGGAAAUAUUGGUUAACAUCACAUUAUCCUUUUUAGGCACCUCAUUUUGAGUAAUCAAUAGCGAUUAAUUGCCUGUUCAUUUUUCAUAGCUUUGAUGUGGGUACUACCAAGAUGAUAAUCCAAAGGCUUGUUUCUCAAGAAUAUUCGCAGUUGCCUCCUAAGAGCUUUCUCUUUUGCCGGGCUUGAGAGCUUAUGCUGCUUUAUUCCUUCCUUGGAUGUCUGAGACUCCAAUUUAUGCAAAUGUUUAAACAAGAUCAUGAACCUUGCAUGUUACUGGCUUCCUCUUUCUCAAACACUUUGGAGUUGGACACUCUAGCACCGAAAACAGUAAUCUGAGAUGGUGAACGUUUCGACCACAUCAGAACCUAUUGAUGCAGAGGCAACUGUGUUUGGGGGAUACUUGUUUCUUUUAUGCGGCUCCAUUUCCUUUUUGUUGUUUCUCUUUUCGGCGAUAAUUUCCAAGCUUCUUCCACCAUCUAGCAAUCAAAUAGUAUCAGCUGUUCAGAAUGACAGGUACUACUGUUUCCUGGUGCCGUUGACUCUUCCUGUUCUCGUGGUGGCUGUGUAUUUCCAUUGGCUCAGCAUGAAACUUUUUAAACAUGCAUGAGUUCAGUAUAGAUGAUGACUCAGAUAUAAUUAUGGAAUGAGGCCAGGAGAAAGUGAAGUGUUUGAUUCAAGACAGUAUUCUGCUGAGAUUAGGUUGUGUCAAAGGAUAGCAUUUGGUAGUCGGGAUUACGGUACUGUUUUUUUUAGUCGAGGUAGCUAUAGUUGGGAGUACCCUGCCAUUGACAAUCAUCAUAAAGAGGGAGGGAGAGACUGGUUUUGAAUUCUAGAUUUUUGAAGUAGCAGAGUAAGAUGUUUACCUGAGGUAAACCCGUUCAUUUAGUUGUACAUGUUGUAUGCCUGGCAAGUAGGAUCUGUUUAUAGGUUAGGAGACCUGGCUCCUGGGUGUGAAGCUCUGAGUAAGAUCUCCUUGCCAGGUUCUAUAAUUUAUUUUAUUUUUUUGCUCAAUCAAUGUAAACAUUUUAUUAACAAUGAUCAACACAAAAACAAUACAAAAAGAGCCAUUUAAGGCCUAAAAGGGAAAAAUACAAAAAUUAACAGAACCUAUAGUAGGUCUGAUAUGGAGAUUCUAAA